Molecule: long non-coding RNA, 2791 nt
Organism: Globicephala melas (long-finned pilot whale)
Lineage: Eukaryota; Metazoa; Chordata; Mammalia; Artiodactyla; Delphinidae
Source: RefSeq, a predicted model, not a curated record
UGCUCUGAAGAGAGCCCCCGCGGCGUAGUGCAUGGCCAGGGCGUGGACAAGCUGCCUGGCCGUGGUGAAGAUGGGGCCUCUUUCAAACACUGAGAAGGAGAGCGGGGUGUGGUCGGAGGCUAUGUACAGCUUGAGGGAAGCGUGGAUGCUGACGAGGAGAUUCACCGGCUGUAUCACCAGCUUCCGUAACUUCACAGGAUGCACCAGGGCCCUGGCGUGCUGCCUGACCUGCACGGGCAACACCUGUUUCCCAUCUGCAAAGACCGUGGGGUGACCGGCUGGGCUGCUGCUAGGAAGGUCAGCUUUGAAAUUCACAUCACGUGCCUGUGACCCAGGGCUGAGGAAAGGCUCCUGGAAGACAAGCUCCCUCCUACAGAAGGGCUGCUUCCUUUCAUCAGAGGACACAGCUCCCCAAGCUCCCCAGUGAUUUAUAUGCCCUGGUGUGUUACUGAGGAGAUGCCAGUGAGGGCCUGAAACAAAUCUUCCUCCAGAAUAGGAAGUAAACCGUGGUCUGCGGGACAUAUGGCACACAGCUCCUCAAAGAUUAAUGGGAACAUGAGACUUUGCUGGGUCCUCGGACCAGGGAUGAUAAGGGUGUUGGAAACAGUACCUCCUCUCAGCUUUGAAGUGUCCCUGACUACAAAGGUUUGAGGAAAUUUAGAGUGAACAGGAAUCCCCAAAAUAAGGUUUGGCAGGCAGAAUGCCUAUUGUAAAGAAUUCCCUAGACAUAUAUAAGCAAGGUUUCAAACAUCUUCAAACCGAUGCAGGGGAGUUCAGGGACCCUUGAGAAGCUGGUGAUACUUAUUUUGUAAAUUACUGAGACGGGGAACGUCUUCUGAGGCUGCACAGACCCAGCAGAUUUUCACUGUUCAUCACAUGAGCACCGCGGAUGGAGAUCACACCCCUCAGUAGUUUGGGGAACCACAAAUGCAGGUCUCCCAGGAACCCUCGCGGCUCACUGACCUGCGUUCCCUGACUGUUGAUGUCGAUGGCGUCGCUCCACUCACUCGUCGUUUCCUCCAGCAAUUCUACUCUCAAAAGGAGGCUGGGGAGUAAGUCUCUGGUCCUGCAGUCUGGAUAACUGGAAAGCUGAUGAUACAGCUCAUGAUGAAUUGAACACUCAGGAGGAAUUCUUCUGCAAUAAACCUCACACUUUGGAAUAUCUAAAAUUGAAAAAAGAAAGGCAUAUGCAGACUUAGGCCUUGAAGAAAAAGACUUGGGGAUACUAAACGUAAUGGGGCAAGAGAAACUUCUCAGAGAAGCUCACUUUUAUUUAAGGGUCACAGGUAACUACGAAGUCAAAAACCUCCAGAAAAAAUAUAGGUUUUGUAUUAUUUAAAUUCAAUACUAUAACAUAUACCUUUAGUAUUUUCCUUUAUAAGUAGUGUUACUGGACAUCUGUUGUGGAAAAUUAUUCGAGGACUAGGGUCUUCUGAGAGGGUUAAAUAAGUCACUCCAAAGUGCUCUUGAUAUGUCAGUGCUAUAGCCCUAGAACAGAAUCAAAGGAUAGAAAUGGUUUAGAAAAAAAUGCACGCUUUCUCUCCUGAUACAUGUUUAUUUGGAUCUGCAAUAUUCAGAACCUCUAUAACACCUUCUCUCUUAUACAUCAGAGGAAAUGUUUUCCAGAGAAUGGAUGGGCAUCCACUUAUCUAUUACCUGCCAAACACUAAUGAUAGGUUUACUAAUUUUUUCUGACAGUAGUAAACAUUUUUGUCAUAAAAUGUUCAAAAAAAUGUGAACGAUCAUAUACACACUACUAUAUUUAAAACAGAUAACAAAGACCUACUGUAUAGCACAGGGAACUGCUCAAUUCCGUAACAACCUAAAUGGGAAAAGAAUUUGAAAAAGAAUAUGUAUAACUGAAUCACUUUGCUGUACACCUGAAACUAACACAACAUUGUUAAUCAACUAUACUCCAAUAUAAAAUAAAAAUUAAAAAAAUAAAAUUAAGUUAAAAAUAUAAAUAAAAUAAAACCCUCAUAACUCCUACCACUCGGAGAGAAUUACAGAUAUCCUUGUGCUAGCUUUUCCUCCUCAAAAGUGCUUGGUAAAUUUUGGCAAAGGAGGAGUUGAUGUGCUUCUAGAAGGACGACUAGAGAAUCUGGGUACUUGCUCUUUUUUAAUUCUAAAGGUAGGUAUGCUCAAUGUUUGUUGUCAAUUUUUGCCAAUCAUCAUGCUUUACAGGAUCUCCAUUUUGAUUACGAAGAGCAAAGCUGUAUUUACUAUUUGGCCUCAGAGAAACUGCUGUGUGGCCGCAGGCUGACCUCUACAAUGGACAGAGAGAAAGGCUCCAAUUUAGACCUAGAGACUACCAAAAAGUAUUUCAUAACAAAGCAGGCAAAAAAUUCUCUCUGAAGCUUAAAUUCUGUGGGCCGAUUGUUGAAAUUAAUCAAAGAAAUCAGAUAUUUGCCAAAUGUGGCCCUCAGUUUCCACUUACUAUAAGGGGUCAAUGACACACUGAAGGAUUUCCCAUUCAUUACCUAUUCUGCUCGCCAGUGUGAGUUCUUCCCAAAGCCUGUAUAUUUGUCUGAAAUGUCAAGGUGAACUGUCGAUUAGUAUUUGGGGAAAUCAUAUUAAUAACUAACACCAUGACAUGUGCACUGCUGGACUGGGGGGAGGAGAAGAGAUGGAACACUCUCUGAGCGUCAGUCUCUGCAUUAGCACCAAAGUCCUUCUCCCAGCCUACCUGUGGAAGAGCUGGGCAAGCCAACCACAGAGAAUGCUCUGCCGAUAGCCAAGAGCUGGGGUCAAGACUGAACUACGGCACUUCCAAUGUAAUAUCUAGCUUAAU